UCCCUGGUGGCUCAGAUGGUAAAGCAUCUGCCUACAAUGCGGGAGACCUGGGUUCGAUCCCUGGGUCGGGAA
This is a non-coding RNA of Bos taurus (domestic cattle), 72 nucleotides long. NCBI's taxonomy places the organism in Eukaryota, Metazoa, Chordata, Mammalia, Artiodactyla, Bovidae. The record is from Rfam.